CCUACGGGGUGCAGCAGUGAGGAAUAUUGGUCAAUGGGCGCGAGCCUGAACCAGCCAAGUAGCGUGAAGGAUGACUGCCCUACGGGUUGUAAACUUCUUUUAUAAAGGAGUAAAGUGAGGCACGUGUGCCUUUUUGUAUGUCCUUUAUGAAUAAGGCUCGGCUAACUCCGUGCCAGCAGCCGCGGUAAUACGGAGGAUCCGCGCGUUAUCCGGAUUUAUUGGGUUUAACGGGAGCGUAGAUGGGUUGUUAAGUCAGUUGUGAAAGGUUGCGGCGUAACCGUAAAAUUGCAAUGGAUACUGGCAGGCUUGAGUACAGUUGAGGUAGGUGGAAUGCGUGGUGUAGCGGUGAAAUGCUUAGAUAUCACGAAGAACGCCGAUGGCGAAGGCAGCUUACUAAACUGUCACUGACAUUGAUGCUCGAAAGUGUGGGUAUCAAACAGGAUUAGAUACCCGAGUAGUC
Molecule: ribosomal RNA, 460 nt
Filed under: uncultured bacterium
Lineage: Bacteria
Description: partial 16S ribosomal RNA
Rfam family: Bacterial small subunit ribosomal RNA
Source: RNAcentral